RNAcentral lists this ribosomal RNA (573 nucleotides) under uncultured bacterium. RNAcentral's name for it is "bacterial SSU rRNA". It matches the Rfam family "Bacterial small subunit ribosomal RNA", at positions 60 to 635 of the family's 1533-position model. The record is from RNAcentral.
AGUCGACGGAGCUGCUUUGAUGAAGUUUUCGGAUGGAUUUAAAACAGCUUAGUGGCGGACGGGUGAGUAACGCGUGGGUAACCUGCCUCACACUGGGGGAUAACAGUUAGAAAUAGCUGCUAAUACCGCAUAAGCGCACAGUUCCGCAUGGAACAGUGUGAAAAACUCCGGUGGUGUGAGAUGGACCCGCGUCUGAUUAGCCAGUUGGCGGGGUAACGGCCCACCAAAGCGACGAUCAGUAGCCGGCCUGAGAGGGUGAACGGCCACAUUGGGACUGAGACACGGCCCAAACUCCUACGGGAGGCAGCAGUGGGGAAUAUUGCACAAUGGGGGAAACCCUGAUGCAGCGACGCCGCGUGAGUGAAGAAGUAUUUCGGUAUGUAAAGCUCUAUCAGCAGGGAAGAAAGUGACGGUACCUGAAUAAGAAGCCCCGGCUAACUACGUGCCAGCAGCCGCGGUAAUACGUAGGGGGCAAGCGUUAUCCGGAUUUACUGGGUGUAAAGGGAGCGUAGACGGCAAGGCAAGUCUGAAGUGAAAGCCCGGUGCUUAACGCCGGGACUGCUUUGGAAACUG